Molecule: ribosomal RNA, 414 nt
Filed under: uncultured microorganism
Description: bacterial SSU rRNA
Rfam family: Archaeal small subunit ribosomal RNA
Source: RNAcentral
CAGCAGCCGCGGUAAUACCGGCGGCCCGAGUGGCGGUCACUAUUAUUGGGCUUAAAGCGUCCGUAGCCGGGUUGGGAAGUCCUCCGGGAAAUCUGGCCGCUUAACGGUCAGAAUGCCGGAGGAUACUCCCAGCCUAGGGAGCGGGAGAGGCCGAGGGUAUUCCCGGGGGAGGGGUGAAAUCCUGUAAUCCCGGGAGGACCACCUGUGGCGAAGGCGCUCGGCUGGAACGGGUCCGACGGGGAGGGACGAAGGCCAGGGGAGCGAACCGGAUUAGAUACCCGGGUAGUCCUGGCUGUAAACGAUGCGGACUAGGUGUCGGGCAAGCUAAGGGCUUGUCCGGUGCCGCAGGGAAGCCGUUAAGUCCGCCGCCUGGGGAGUACGGCCGCAAGGCUGAAACUUAAAGGAAUUGGCGGG